CUUCAGUUCCCUGUGGUUCAAUUGUUCAAUUGCUCAGUAACCAGUAAUUGUUCAUCUUUUUCCCUAGCGGACAUCUAAGGCCUUCUACCCAGUAACUGGUAGUUGUAAGUCCUACUUCUGUGGUUUUCUACCCAAAAGCCGGUAGAUGCAAUCCCCUCGUUGUUGGUUAUCUUUACCCAGUAUCCGGUAUUGCUACUCCUUCAUUU
Molecule: long non-coding RNA, 206 nt
Filed under: Lathyrus oleraceus (garden pea)
Lineage: Eukaryota; Viridiplantae; Streptophyta; Magnoliopsida; Fabales; Fabaceae
Description: Pisum sativum (pea) long non-coding RNA (PSAT_LNC004767)
Source: RNAcentral